Non-coding RNA from Myodes glareolus (Bank vole), 2257 nucleotides. The record is from RefSeq and is a predicted model, not a curated record. Lineage: Eukaryota; Metazoa; Chordata; Mammalia; Rodentia; Cricetidae.
UUCACUACUGUAGAAUUUCUCUAGCUUCUUCAUGUAGGCAUUUAAUGCUAUGACAUUUCCUGUCAUCACCGCAUUCAUUGUGUCCCCUGAGUUUGGAUUGGUACAGGUGGAGCCUGUGCUUCAGGGGAUCCCUUUUCCUCCAAUUGAUGUAGCUGGAGGCUGUGGCUCCAUUCAGUGCUCCUUCAGAUGUAUGCAGGGUUGAGCUUCUCGUGAUUGUUUCUCCAGGUCUAAAUUCCUCCUACUACCUACUCCUCUGCCCAGAAGUUCUGCAUAAACCACCUCCCUCACCAUUGGUCAUUCAGCUUUUCAUCAGAAGAAACAGGUUCCUUAUGCAGUCAAGGAAAUCAUGACCAUGCCAAACAGCAAAUUUUGAAGUCUCUAAAAGGAUGAUGAGGCCCCACAAUCCCACCAGAACUAUGACAACACUACCAUCUAAAGAUCAGCUUUGGAGCACAAACUGCUCAGGACAACUUCAAGGUGAUUAAUUGAGAUGGUCCAGCCUCACAGACUACUCCAACCAGAACUUGUGAUAAGCCUUGCACUUUCCCUUUACACAGAGACUGGACAACAAAUGAUACAGCUAGCUCUCCCAAGACUUGAAAAUUAUCCCAGUUUUUUUCGGGGUGCUUUAAAGACAGUAUCACCCCAGACACUGGAAAUAAGUAAAAAGAAAGUGUAUUGUAAGCAACUCCAACCCUCUAGAAUUGACAGAGACAUCUCACUACCUGGACAGUCACCCAAAGUUCUUCUGUAAUGUUGGUGCAUCUAUCUUCUACCUAUAAUCUUAGCAUAUCUGACAGACUUUUCUGUGAAGCAGGGUAUUUGAAGAUCUGCCCUGCCUUGUACUGGCAAAAUUCAUCAGUUGCUUUCUUCUGUGUCCUGCAGAAUGUCUGGCAGUUCUUUCUGUGAAGCAAGAACUCUGGAGGACCAUCUAGUCUUCUGGAACAUUCAGGAGUCAAUUUUUAUGCAGCCUGCCUGUCCAGUUCACACUGCAUGCUAUCAAGCAGUCAAGGCAAGAGCAGUUUCUUGUACAAAUGGCUAGUCUCAUUACAUUGAAUGCAAAUUCCAUAACAAGUUUCUUUGAUGCUUAUCAGCCUCUCUGAAGUAAUUAGUGCUUCUCCUCUUACUGUUGAGAAAAGCCUAAGUUCUUAAAAUAUUUUAAAUGCCAUAUUCUGUAGGUCUUUGAGAGGUUUGAAUACCCAUCCAUCUGAAAUAUAUUUCUGUACAUCUACAAACAACAAUCUAUACAACAUGACUACAAGUUUGACUAUUAGAGAUGAUUGUCUAUUAAUCCACAACUUUUAAUGAUACAUUACAUUUUUAAAUGAGAUAAUACCUUAAAAAUAAUACCUUAAAUAAGAGUAGAAAUAUACAUAUAAUGAAACUGAGCAGGUUAAAGUUAGUAAUAUAUAAUAUAUAUAUGUAUAUGUAUAAGUAUAUACAUAUAUGUAUGUAACAACAGUAUUGAAAAAGGAGGUCACGAGUAUGAAUGACAGCAAGACCGGGUAAGUGGAGGGUUUGUAGGCAAAGAAGGAAAGGGGUAGAUGAUGUGAUUAUGCAAUAAUAUUAAAAAUAGUAACAUUAAUAAAAAUUAAAUUCACUUAAUAAAACCAACAAUAUAUGAAGAAUUUAAAAAAAAUUAUCUGGUCUGUUGUUUGUCUCAUUUAGAUGAUUUAUUUCUUAUAAACUGCUUGGUGAAAGAAAUGGUGGAAUAUAUAUUCAAUUUCAAGGAUGUUUAAUGAAUUUUAAUAGAAAUAAUAUGCCAUAGAAAGUGAAUGGAAUCUACACUGACUAAAAAUAAAAACAAUAUAGUAGGGAAAAUUGACCUUAAAUUUGUAUCAAUAAACCAAAGUUCAUACCAAUGUAAAGUAUUCAUCUCUAUAUCAUAUCCCCCUUUUUUUUCUUUUGUAAAGACUCUGACUAUAACCAUUAAUCAUUUACAAUCAAACCCCUUUAAAAUAAAAACAAGUAUUUAUAAACAAUAUUUGGGAAUUUGGGAAUAGUUUUUUAGACUACUUCCUACUUCCUGGGGGUGCUGUUAAUCAGGUCUUUCAUAGGGUAUCCUGUGUGGCUGAUCCAUCUCAGCAGCAGUCCUAAAGCUGUCAUGGAUGUUGGACCAUCUGGGCCAUUGCUUCAAGGGGUCUUGUUUGAUCAAACAAUAUUAGCCAAUAAGGAAUCCACACCUUUCAUAUCCUCUGUGGAAACAAAAGCAGAACCUCUCUUCCAAAGUAACAUGUCCUUAGACUUAAAUUUUGAU